AAUGCCUAGGAAUCUGCCUGGUAGUGGGGGACAACGUUUCGAAAGGAACGCUAAUACCGCAUACGUCCUACGGGAGAAAGCAGGGGACCUUCGGGCCUUGCGCUAUCAGAUGAGCCUAGGUCGGAUUAGCUAGUUGGUGAGGUAAUGGCUCACCAAGGCGACGAUCCGUAACUGGUCUGAGAGGAUGAUCAGUCACACUGGAACUGAGACACGGUCCAGACUCCUACGGGAGGCAGCAGUGGGGAAUAUUGGACAAUGGGCGAAAGCCUGAUCCAGCCAUGCCGCGUGUGUGAAGAAGGUCUUCGGAUUGUAAAGCACUUUAAGUUGGGAGGAAGGGCAUUAACCUAAUACGUUAGUGUUUUGACGUUACCGACAGAAUAAGCACCGGCUAACUCUGUGCCAGCAGCCGCGGUAAUACAGAGGGAGCAAGCGUUUAUCGGAAUUACUGGGCGUAAAGCGCGUGUAGGUGGUUCUUUUAGUUGAAUGUGAAAUCCCCGGGCUCAACCUGGGAAUUUCAUCCUAAACUGGCGAGCUAUAGUUUUGGUGAUGGUGGUGUA
Molecule: ribosomal RNA, 557 nt
Filed under: Pseudomonas sp. A5AGL
Lineage: Bacteria; Pseudomonadati; Pseudomonadota; Gammaproteobacteria; Pseudomonadales; Pseudomonadaceae
Description: bacterial SSU rRNA
Rfam family: Bacterial small subunit ribosomal RNA
Source: RNAcentral